Molecule: ribosomal RNA, 440 nt
Filed under: uncultured bacterium
Lineage: Bacteria
Description: partial 16S ribosomal RNA
Rfam family: Bacterial small subunit ribosomal RNA
Source: RNAcentral
CCUACGGGAGGCAGCAGUGGGGAAUAUUGCACAAUGGGGGAAACCCUGAUGCAGCGACGCCGCGUGAGUGAAGACGUAAUUCGUUAUGUAAAGCUCUAUCCGCAGGGAAGAAAAUGACGGUAACUGAGUAAGCAACCCCGGCUAACUACGUGCCAGCCGCCGCGGUAAUACGUAGGGGGCAAGCGUUUUCCGGGGUUACUGGGUGUAAAGGGAGCGUAGACGGGAGUGCAAGUCAGGAGUGAAAGGCUGGGGCUCAACCCGCGGACUGCACUGGAAACUGUACGGCUUGAGUGCAGGAGAGGUAAGUGGAAUUCCGAGUGUAGCGGUGAAAUGCGUAGAUAUUAGGAGGAACACCAGUGGCGAAGGCGGCUUACUGGGCUGUAACUGACGUUGAGGCUCGAAAGCGUGGGGAGCAAACAGGAUUAGAUACCCUAGUAGUC